Molecule: ribosomal RNA, 32 nt
Filed under: Bradyrhizobium sp. NAS80.1
Lineage: Bacteria; Pseudomonadati; Pseudomonadota; Alphaproteobacteria; Hyphomicrobiales; Nitrobacteraceae
Source: RNAcentral
CAACCCGAUCCCAUCCCGAACUCGGCCGUUAA